UGGGGAAUUUUGGACAAUGGGGGAAACCCUGAUCCAGCCAUCCCGCGUGUGCGAUGAAGGCCUUCGGUUUGUAAAGCACUUUUGGCAGGAAAGAAACGUCAUGGGUUAAUACCCCGUGAAACUGACGGUACCUGCAGAAUAAGCACCGGCUAACUACGUGCCAGCAGCCGCGGUAAUACGUAGGGUGCAAGCGUUAAUCGGAAUUACUGGGCGUAAAGCGUGCGCAGGCGGUUCGGAAAGAAAGAUGUGAAAUCCCAGAGCUCAACUUUGGAACUGCAUUUUUAACUACCGGGCUAGAGUGUGUCAGAGGGAGGUGGAAUUCCGCGUGUAGCAGUGAAAUGCGUAGAUAUGCGGAGGAACACCGAUGGCGAAGGCAGCCUCCUGGGAUAACACUGACGCUCAUGCACGAAAGCGUGGGGAGCAAACAGG
RNAcentral lists this ribosomal RNA (429 nucleotides) under Acidobacteriota bacterium. RNAcentral describes it as "Acidobacteria bacterium partial 16S ribosomal RNA". It matches the Rfam family "Bacterial small subunit ribosomal RNA", at positions 355 to 776 of the family's 1533-position model. Lineage: Bacteria; Pseudomonadati; Acidobacteriota. The record is from RNAcentral.